GACGAACGCUGGCGGCGUGCUUAACACAUGCAAGUCGAACGGAAAGGCCCUGCUUUUGUGGGGUGCUCGAGUGGCGAACGGGUGAGUAACACGUGAGUAACCUGCCCUUGACUUUGGGAUAACUUCAGGAAACUGGGGCUAAUACCGGAUAGGAGCUCCUGCUGCAUGGUGGGGGUUGGAAAGUUUCGGCGGUUGGGGAUGGACUCGCGGCUUAUCAGCUUGUUGGUGGGGUAGUGGCUUACCAAGGCUUUGACGGGUAGCCGGCCUGAGAGGGUGACCGGCCACAUUGGGACUGAGAUACGGCCCAGACUCCUACGGGAGGCAGCAGUGGGGAAUAUUGCACAAUGGGCGGAAGCCUGAUGCAGCAACGCCGCGUGCGGGAUGACGGCCUUCGGGUUGUAAACCGCUUUCGCCUGUGACGAAGCGUGAGUGACGGUAAUGGGUAAAGAAGCACCGGCUAACUACGUGCCAGCAGCCGCGGUGAUACGUAGGGUGCGAGCGUUGUCCGGAUUUAUUGGGCGUAAAGGGCUCGUAGGUGGUUGAUCGCGUCGGAAGUGUAAUCUUGGGGCUUAACCCUGAGCGUGCUUUCGAUACGGGUUGACUUGAGGAAGGUAGGGGAGAAUGGAAUUCCUGGUGGAGCGGUGGAAUGCGCAGAUAUCAGGAGGAACACCAGUGGCGAAGGCGGUUCUCUGGGCCUUUCCUGACGCAGAGGAGCGAAAGCGUGGGGAGCGAACAGGCUUAGAUACCCUGGUAGUCCACGCUGUAAACGGUGGGUACUAGGUGUGGGGUCCAUUCCACGGGUUCCGUGCCGUAGCUAACGCUUUAAGUACCCCGCCUGGGGAGUACGGCCGCAAGGCUAAAACUCAAAGGAAUUGACGGGGCCCCGCACAAGCGGCGGAGCAUGCGGAUUAAUUCGAUGCAACGCGUAGAACCUUACCUGGGUUUGACAUGGAUCGGGAGUGCUCAGAGAUGGGUGUGCCUCUUUUGGGGUCGGUUCACAGGUGGUGCAUGGCUGUCGUCAGCUCGUGUCGUGAGAUGUUGGGUUAAGUCCCGCAACGAGCGCAACCCUUGUUCACUGUUGCCAGCACGUUAUGGUGGGGACUCAGUGGAGACCGCCGGGGUCAACUCGGAGGAAGGUGGGGAUGACGUCAAGUCAUCAUGCCCCUUAUGUCCAGGGCUUCACGCAUGCUACAAUGGCUGGUACAGAGAGUGGCGAGCCUGUGAGGGUGAGCGAAUCUCGGAAAGCCGGUCUCAGUUCGGAUCGGGGUCUGCAACUCGACCUCAUGAAGUCGGAGUCGCUAGUAAUCGCAGAUCAGCAACGCUGCGGUGAAUACGUUCCCGGG
Molecule: ribosomal RNA, 1343 nt
Filed under: uncultured bacterium
Lineage: Bacteria
Description: 16S ribosomal RNA
Rfam family: Bacterial small subunit ribosomal RNA
Source: RNAcentral